GGAUGUGAGGGGGAUCUGGCUGGGACAUCUGUUGCCCUGUUGAUUGCCAGGGUUGAUUUGGCCUAUCAGGCUGACUAGGCGAGUGUCCCCACCCUCCCUCAGGGCUCUCUGUGUGUCUCUCCCCAAGCCGUGUGCUGGAUGGAAGAGGACGACCUACCCUGCUCAAGGAGAACCAUCCUUCCAUCAAGGGCAUAGGAUGAGCUGGGUUCCCUCGUUAGAAUCUCCAAACAAGCUCUCAAGGUCUAUUAUUAGAAGCUUUAAAAAAAGAGAAAGAGAGAGAAUUAAAUGAAAACCAGGAUUCUCAGUAUGGGAAAAGAUUGCU
RNAcentral lists this small nuclear RNA (322 nucleotides) under Canis lupus dingo (dingo). RNAcentral's name for it is "7SK RNA (ENSCAFG00020010983.1)". It matches the Rfam family "7SK RNA". Rfam says of the family: 7SK was discovered as an abundant small nuclear RNA in the mid-70s but a possible function has only recently been suggested. Two independent studies have found that 7SK RNA binds the CDK9/cyclin T complex (known as elongation factor P-TEFb). The record is from RNAcentral. Lineage: Eukaryota; Metazoa; Chordata; Mammalia; Carnivora; Canidae.